Molecule: ribosomal RNA, 275 nt
Filed under: uncultured bacterium
Lineage: Bacteria
Description: partial 16S ribosomal RNA
Rfam family: Bacterial small subunit ribosomal RNA
Source: RNAcentral
GCGUGAGUGAAGAAGGCCUUAGGGUUGUAAAACUCUUUCAACUGUGAGGAUGAUGACAGUAGCAGUAGAAGAAGCACCGGCUAACUUCGUGCCAGCAGCCGCGGUAAUACGAAGGGUGCGAGCGUUGUUCGGAAUUACUGGGCGUAAAGGGCGUGUAGGCGGAUUGGCAAGAUAGAGGUGAAAGGCCUGGGCUCAACCUGGGAACUGCCUUUAUAACUUCCAGUCUAGAGAUCGAGAGAGGAUAGCGGAAUUCCUAGUGUAGAGGUGAAAUUCGU